This 1055-nucleotide long non-coding RNA is filed under the name Pan troglodytes (chimpanzee). Its description in RNAcentral is "long non-coding RNA NONPTRT005383". Lineage: Eukaryota; Metazoa; Chordata; Mammalia; Primates; Hominidae. The record is from RNAcentral.
CGGCGGCUCUGCUGGCCCACCCCGGCCGGGCCUGCCCUCCCGCGCCCCGGGCCCUCGCCCGGGCGCCCGCCUUCCCCUCGCCUUCGGGAUCACCUGUGGCCGCCGGUCGCUUUUCUGCACGCAGCGCCCCGCGGAACGCGCCUCUGACCACUUUCUCCCCCGACUCGGUGGGGCAAGAGGCUCGCAACCCGACGCCACUCUCCCGCUGGCUCGCCGGAGCACUCGGGGGCGAUAAAUGCGCCAGCUUGUUGGUGGAAAAGACAGGUUUGGUCUGGGGAGCUACGGUCACCCGCAUUUCCUAGAGCGCCCCAGCUCUAAUCGGAAGGUACGGCCCCCUUCUGGGCCGUGGAGAACGAAGCCACUGGGACCGUCCGGGGAGUGGAGGUGGAAAACCAUCGGAGACUGCAUCCUCCUAAGUAUGUUCUUCCCUACUCAAUGCAAGUGAACCCAGAUAUACAACUCGGAUGAUUCACAAUGCUACUUUAAAACAGUAUCCUGCUUUAGAAAACAAUGUUUUCAAAAGAACCAAAUCUAUUAGCUCUAGCGUGCCUGUGAGACAUCUGACUCCAAGGUGAAUAAUCUGACAUCACUAGUAAUCAGUAUUUAUUUCCAGAUCAUUUCAAAUGAAAUCAGUCAUUGGGAACAACAUGUAACAUGACAUCUGCUCCUGCAGUUAUAAGUAGAAUCAUUCAUUCUAUAGAUAUGUCCCCAAUAGAAAUAUAAUCUCAAGUACUUAUCUGAAAUAUUUACACAUUUAUUCAACAAAGACAUUUCCAGAAUAAUGUAAAACUGACCUUGCCCUUUAGAGAUGUACUUCAUUCACUUCCUACAACUAAUGAGCAACAGAAUUUCAGAUAUGAAGCCCUAACCUUCCAAUGUAGCUAGAUGCUAUUUGUAAUACAUGCCUCUAUUAAAUGUCUUCAGCUUUUAACCCAGGUUAUAUUACUGUUCUUUAUAUUAACACAAAGCUCUUUGAGAGUAAAAACUAUAGGCUGUUUUUUUUUUAACCACUCAAAAUGCACAUUUUCUAUGACAUUAUCAGGCCCCAACCAAAC